Molecule: RNA transcript, 1498 nt
Organism: Gossypium arboreum
Lineage: Eukaryota; Viridiplantae; Streptophyta; Magnoliopsida; Malvales; Malvaceae
Gene name: serine/arginine-rich splicing factor SR30-like
Exons: 14
Source: RefSeq, a predicted model, not a curated record
AGAUUCAUGUUUUGUCUUUUUUCAUUUUCAUCGUUUCAAAGCCACCCACGAAGCCCUUCUUCUAUAACCUUCCAGAAUUAUCUAUCAUCUAAAUCCCUACAACCCGACCUUUUCUCUGUAUUCUCUGUUCUUCAAAUUUUCUUCGAAAUUUUCCUAUGUCUUGGAUGAACCUGUUUAUCACUGAAACCGCCAUUUUUUUUUUGUUACUUGCCUUUUUUGUAUUUCUAGAUUAAGAUUGGGUAUUGUUUCAGGGGAAAAUGGGCCGUUCAAGCCGCACGCUCUAUGUGGGCAAUCUGCCUGGGGAUACUCGUAUGAGGGAAGUUGAAGAUUUAUUUUACAAGUAUGGACCCAUUGUUGAUAUUGACUUGAAGAUCCCACCAAGGCCCCCUGGUUAUGCAUUUGUUGAGUUUGAGGAUCCUCGUGAUGCUGAAGAUGCAAUUCGUGGUCGAGAUGGUUAUAACUUUGAUGGGAAUCGUCUAAGGGUUGAACUUGCUCAUGGUGGGCGAAGACCUUCAUCUGUGGAUCGUUAUAGUAGUUACAGUGGUAGCAGUAGCCGUGGGCCUUCCAGGCGCUCUGACUAUCGUGUUUUGGUGACUGGUUUACCUUCUUCUGCUUCAUGGCAAGACCUAAAGGAUCACAUGCGAAAAGCUGGGGAUGUCUGUUUCUCUCAAGUGUUUCGUGAUCGUGGAGGCAUGACAGGGAUUGUAGAUUACACGAACUAUGAUGAUAUGAAAUAUGCUAUAAGGAAGCUUGAUGACUCUGAGUUUCGAAAUGCAUUUAGCCGGGCUUACAUACGGGUGAAGGAGUAUGAUUCAAGAUAUGAUUCUAAGCGCAGCUACUCUAGAAGUCCUAGUCGUAGCCCAUAUAGUCGAAGCCCUAGUCGCAGUUAUAGUUAUAGGAGCAGGAGCAGGAGCAGGAGCAGGAGCAGGAGCAGGAGCAAGUCUCCAAGGGCCAAAUACUUAACGGUAUCAAGGUCUGUCUCACCUCGUUCCCGUUCAGUGUCACCUGCCCGCUCCUAUUCGAGAUCUGGCUCUUUGCGGCAAUCCGUGGAUUGGAUGUUAGGAACUUUGAUGGGAUGUGGUGCUCAAAUGCCUGCAACUCAUUUAUUUUUUGGUUGAGAUCUCGAUCCAAAUCCAGAUCAAUCACUCCAUCUCCUCGCCCAUGGAAACGCAGUCCAAGUAGGAGCCAAAGUGUAACUCGUUCUCAUUCACCAUCUGAGAAAUCUGAAUGAUGAGAUGGAGAUGGAGAUUACAAAGACUAGCUCUUGAGCAUAAGAGUAGUUUAAUAUUUGGAUGCCACCUAUGAUGACAUUAAACCAUGAACCACUUCUUUGUUGUUAUAACAUAAUGGUUGGGACCUGAUGUGUAAUGGAUGGGAGGGAGAAAACAUUCUCUGGAUCCACCAAUUUUACAGCUUCUAAUUCUAAUAUUAUAAACAUUACGGAUUUUAUUUUAGAUAUUUUCAUUAAUAUUUUAUGGAAUACAUUAAACUUAGAUUA